UGGCUCAGUUGGUAGAGCAUGGUGUUUGCAACGGCAGGGUUGUGGGUUCGAUUCCCAC
Salmo salar (Atlantic salmon) is the source of this 58-nucleotide non-coding RNA. NCBI's taxonomy places the organism in Eukaryota, Metazoa, Chordata, Actinopteri, Salmoniformes, Salmonidae. The record is from Rfam.